This 468-nucleotide ribosomal RNA is filed under the name uncultured bacterium. Its description in RNAcentral is "partial 16S ribosomal RNA". It matches the Rfam family "Bacterial small subunit ribosomal RNA", at positions 28 to 507 of the family's 1533-position model. The record is from RNAcentral.
GACGAACGCUGGCGGCGUGCUUAACACAUGCAAGUCGAACGGAAAGGCCCUGCUUUUGUGGGGUGCUCGAGUGGCGAACGGGUGAGUAACACGUGAGUAACCUGCCCUUGACUUUGGGAUAACUUCAGGAAACUGGGGCUAAUACCGGAUAGGGGCUCCUGCUGCAUGGUGGGGGUUGGAAAGUUUCGGCGGUUGGGGAUGGACUCGCGGCUUAUCAGCUUGUUGGUGGGGUAGUGGCUUACCAAGGCUUUGACGGGUAGCCGGCCUGAGAGGGUGACCGGCCACAUGGGGACUGAGAUACGGCCCAGACUCCUACGGGAGGCAGCAGGGGGGAAUAUUGCACAAUGGGCGGAAGCCUGAUGCAGCAACGCCGCGUGCGGGAUGACGGCCUUCGGGUUGUAAACCGCUUUCGCCUGUGACGAAGCGUGAGUGACGGUAAUGGGUAAAGAAGCACCGGCUAACUACGUG